RNAcentral lists this ribosomal RNA (502 nucleotides) under uncultured bacterium. Its description in RNAcentral is "bacterial SSU rRNA". It matches the Rfam family "Bacterial small subunit ribosomal RNA", at positions 29 to 503 of the family's 1533-position model. The record is from RNAcentral.
AACGAACGCUGGCGGCGUGGAUAAGACAUGCAAGUCGGACGCUGAUUGCCGGGUAGCAAUAUUCGGCGGUCGGAGUGGCGAAAGGGUGCGUAACACGUGGGCAAUCUGCCGUGAAGUCGGGGAUAACUUGCUGAAAGGCGAGCUAAUACCGGAUGUGGUUUUGGGAGGGCAUCUUUCUGGAACCAAAGUUGGGGACCGCAAGGCCUGACGCUUCAUGAUGAGCCCGCGGCCUAUCAGCUAGUUGGUGAGGUAAUGGCUCACCAAGGCAAAGACGGGUAGCUGGUCUGAGAGGACGACCAGCCACACUGGAACUGAGACACGGUCCAGACACCUACGGGUGGCAGCAGUCGAGAAUUUUUCACAAUGGGCGAAAGCCUGAUGGAGCGACGCCGCGUGGGGGAUGAAUGGCUUCGGCCCGUAAACCCCUGUCAUUUGCGAACAAACCUUUCCACCCAACACGUGGAGAGCUGAUUGUAGCGAAAGAGGAAGGGACGGCUAACUC